UAAUACGUAGGGGGCAAGCGUUAUCCGGAAUUAUUGGGCGUAAAGAGUGCGUAGGUGGUUUUGUAAGCGUAGGGUGAAAGGCAGUAGCUCAACUAUUGUUAGCCCUGCGAACUGUGAGACUUGAGUGCAGGAGAGGAAAGUGGAAUUCCUAGUGUAGCGGUGAAAUGCGUAGAUAUUAGGAGGAACACCAGUGGCGAAGGCGACUUUCUGGACUGUAACUGACACUGAGGCACGAAAGCGUGGGUAGCAAACAGG
RNAcentral lists this ribosomal RNA (255 nucleotides) under uncultured bacterium. RNAcentral's name for it is "partial 16S ribosomal RNA". It matches the Rfam family "Bacterial small subunit ribosomal RNA", at positions 521 to 776 of the family's 1533-position model. The record is from RNAcentral.